UUUUUUUAUUUUAUUUUAUUUUUUGCUUUUUAGGGCCACACCUGCUGCAUAUGGAGGUUCCCAGACUAGGGGUCCAAUCAGAGCUCUGUAGCUCUGAUUCAACCCCUAGCCUGGGAAGCUCCAUAAGCCAUGGGUGUGGCCUUAAAAAAAAAAAAAGAAGAAAUAGAAAGAGCCCAUGUUUGACCACAUUAUGGUGAGAAACCAGAUUUUGGUCCUAAAAAAAAAAAAAAAAAAUUCUUUUAGCAAAUUGCUCUACAGUUAAGAAAAGAAAAAAAAAAAGAAAGGAGAAAAGAACAACCUGCUGGCUUCAUCACCAGUUCUCAAAGCACAGAUUCACACUCACCCCUAUAGCACAGAUUCACACUCACCCCUAUAUUCUCACUCCCAACAGGUGUCUUUGUUCUCCAGAGAUGGGAACCCCAAGGGUAAUUUAAGUGAUGGAAGGUUGCAGGAAACUAUCAUUAUGUAUCUUUAUGAAAGGACCUUUUUGUUAUCUUGGGAGAUGAGGGUGGAAAGAGACAGGUCCAUCUGUUGAAAUUUCUGAUUAUCUGAGACCUCUUCCCUUCCAUGAGACAUUGUUCACAUGAGUUCUGGCAACUGAGCCUCCUUCCCUUUGUCUAUAUGUUUGCUUAGUUUCCAUCAAUUGGAUCACAAGCCUACUGGUCCAGGGACACACUUAUCUCAACAAUGGACGUUUCCUUUAGGUUUUCUUCAAGAUUGCUCAUGCUCCAACUGGAACAAGGCAGAACGGAGGGGUGUUCUUCCAGAUCCAGGACCACAGAAAAGCCUGUGAGGCAGCCAUCCAGAGUCCAUCUUCGCUCCUCCAAGCUCUGCCAGCUUGAUUCAAACUCUUACCGCAUUCUUCGCACUGCCACGAGUCUCACCUCCUCCAGCAAAGAACUUUCGCAUUUCUAACAGUACAGAGGACGAGGCCUGAGGAAAAAAAAGCCUGUGGACAGAACAGGCUGUCCUUGUUUAUAAGGAGCCAGAGGCAUUGUUCACGUGAGUUCUGGCAACUGAGCCCCUGGGUUUCCAACUCCAGAGCCAGUCCCGACUCAGGACUGACCCAGACUCCAGGAGAGGGUUCAGGCUCCAAGCCACAAGUUCUCCAAUCUGUCAAUUGUGGAGUCAAAGGUUAUUAGGGGGAACCCUGUUCUUGUGCAAAACAAGCAUUGUCAGCAGAUGGACAUUAAGAGAGGGGCACACACAUAUUGGUGCAAAUGCAUUAAGAAACAAAACCAUUUCUACAUAGUAGCUGAUUAUAAUUUUUUUUUUUCCCACAACAAAUUAGAGAGUGGACCCAAAGUAUCUGUAUGGGGCAUACAACAACUGGAACAUGAAAAAGGAGACCUCAGGUCUGAAAAGCAUUUCUUUUUUUUAUGUGCUGUGUUUUGUUUUUUGUUUUGUUUUGUUUUUUAGGGCCGCACCCAUGGCUUAUGGAGGUUUCCAGGCUAGGGGUUGCAUCAGAGCUGCAGCUCCCAGCCUACAACACAGCUCACAGCAAUGCCAGAUCCUUAACUCCCUGAGCGAGGCUGGGGAUUGAAGCUGUGUCCUCAUGGUCACUAGUCAGAUUUGUUUCCACUGAGCUACAAUGGGAAUGCCUGAAAAGCAUUUCAAUUUCCUCCUCUAGGCACCAGGGUCAGGUGCGUGCUACUGCGCAGGUGAAGAAUCCAGACUCCGAAAUCCUUGAGUAUGGGUCUCCAGUUCCUACACUCAGUUACAUGACUCGGUCAAAUUAUGUUUGCAUUCACUGUUCUCAAAACCCAGCAGCUAUUAUGUGGCAGGACCAUUUCUAGACACGGGAGACACAGCAAGGAACAGAUAAAAGUCCCUAUCUCAGCAUUAUAGGGGCAGGGAUUAAAAUGGUACCUAUCUCAAUGGGCUAUUCUAAGAAUUUCAUACCAAGUAUUUUAGGUGAGGCCCUUAGAACAGAGUCUGGCACAGAAUCACUCUCUCAGUAAAUAGUAGCUCUUACUUAAAGCAGGAAAUGUCAAUUCCACAAGCUGUAGGAAGUAUGCUGGAUAUAUUUUUUUAAAGCGGGGUGGAUAGAAUGGCCAAAUGUCACAUCUGGCAUCACAUCUGGCCCCACCGAACCCAGGGCUGAGUGAGGAGAUCUGUCCGGCUCCAUGGCUGAGGCCCCUCCUCUCGUUCCCAAGGGUUGGCCCCGUUACAGACUUACUUUCCUCAUUAAAUAUGGGGACCCCCUAUGGUCUUUGAUACUUAAGGCCCAAGAAGGGAUUCCAUAAAACUGUGGUUCCCUCAUCAAAGAAUGUCUAAAAGUCACUUAUGAAGGUGCUCUGGGUAUGCGUGUCAAUGAUCCUUCUCUUGAGCCUUUCACUCCAAUCAUAGAGGGCUUGUAUUAUUCCCCCAAUCCUCCUUGUUCUUUAAUUCCACCAGGCCUUUUCCCAGCUAUUCCUGUUGAAAGGUGUGCCCUUCUCUGUUCUCUUUGCCUUGAUAUACCUGAUAUAAUUCCACCCAUCCUUGAAGACCAAGUUCAUACAAAAGCUCAUCUCCAUCCUUCCUGAACUCUGAAAUGGGCAGCUGGUUCUCUCACCUCUUCCCACCUGAACCCUAUCACAGCCUCAUCUAUUGGGUUAUUCUCACUCGUUUUAUGUUAUCCUGUCAUUAGAAAAUUCUGCUUGAAUGUUUAACAUCAAAUUCAGGGCAAUGGGCACACCUCAAAUAUUUCUUUUGCUCAGUUAUUCAGAAAACAUUUACUGAGCUCUGUUCUGUUCCAAUAUGCCAGGUGUAUGGCAAUGAGCCCACCACCCCAAAUGCCUGCCUGCCCUCUGGAACUGCCAUCCUAAUGGAGAAACUGCUCCUCACCCCUCUCUGCCCACACCUGUCCUCACCAGAUUAGCUGACCACCUACCCACCAAGAAGAAUUCCAGGUGUGAGAACCAGUUGUGUGGGGCAUGUUUUCAUGAAUAAAUAAAUAACUUUCACUUCUAGGUUCUUUGAAGUGUGAAGCAAACCAAAUGCCUAAAGCCAUGUUCCCAUGGGCUAUCACCACUAAGUUCCACCCUCUACCUCAUGGUCUUGGUGAUUUGGUGCCAUUUUUACAACGAGGAGGCACUUUAUCCAUCAAAAUUCAACUCCAUGCCUGUAGGGAACAGGGCAGAAUCGUUUCCUAGGAAAGAGAUCUUCCCAGCCAAGAUGAACCACACUCACCAGGGCCCCAAUGCAGAUUUUUCUUCUCGAAGCUGGAUAGGACUUUUUUUUUCUCACGCUGAAUUCCCUCAGGAUCUUUGCACAGCCCACCUGCAUCACCAGAUCCCUCACUUAUUUACCUACUGCCCCAGCAUUGCACCUGGCAUUUCGCAUAUGCAAGCAUUUCUCUUCCAAUUCCACCGCAAGCUCCAUGACUCCUGAAACGCCCUCAGAAGUCACACCACCUCACACCAUGUGAACACACACAGCAGGUGCUCAAUAAGUGCUUGCUACACUUCAUCUCUAGAAAUUAUUCUUACAUCUCACCUACUGUGGAGGAGGGAAGCCCAAAUCUGCACACCACCCACACCCAAAGUAAAACUCUAACUCACUUCCAGAAAGGCAAUAAUACAAACUUCUAAGAAGAAAAACCAUCCAAAGAAUAAACAGCAUUGGCCAUGUGGAGCUUUCCAUGAUCUCAUCAACUUUUUCUAGUGUGCUAAAAACCAACCUAUAACUAGCUGGCAUCUGUCUGUUGCAGAGACGUGAUCUUAAAUGGUCCUUCAAAAACUUCACUGGUAUCUCCUUCUUAUCUUAAAAAAUUGCAAUCAAACCUCAGGAUUACUGUAUAAUGGACUGUUGGUUUUUUACCCCUCUAACUAACAUUUUCUGUGCCCUUACUGUUUGGGGCCUCUCUGUAAAACUGCUUUGUGAUAAAUCAUUCAAUAUCAAAAUACCCCCUAUGAAAUUGGUCCUUCUACUGGUCCUAUUUUACAGCUGCUAAAAUAGAGACUCAGAGAGGGUAUGUCACAUGGUUUAGAACCUGCCAAUCAAACCAAGAGCAGCUGGCCUCAUGACCCACAUACUAUGCCAGGCAUCAGAAAACUACAGCUUGAGGGCCAAAUCUGGCCUAUCUACCUACCGCAUGUGUUUGUAAACAAAGUUUUAUUGGAAUGUGGCAAAGCUCAUUUGUUUAUAUAUUGUCUAUGGCUUCUUUCAUGUUCCAACAGCAGAGUUAAGUAGUUGAGACAGAGACUGUAUGGCCCACAAAGCCUAAAAUAUUUACUCUCUGGCACUUUGCUGAAAAAGUUUGCCAACCCCUGGUCCAAGCUACGUUGGCAAAGAUAAAAUGUUGAAGUCAUAGCAUUCUCCUAAAAGUCUCAACAUAUCAUACACAAAGUACAGAGCUUGCAACAAAAACGGAAGAUUUCCAAUGACCUUAAAAAUCUAGAGUGGGAACAGUCUUUGCAAGUCAUCUGCCUUCUGUUUCUGAAUUAGAAGUUGAGCUUGGCAUUAGUAAAUGCCUUAUGACUCUAACUCCCAUUUAGAGAUAAAUGCGCUUGGAAUAUUAGACAUAUUUAUUGCUUGCAAAACUAUCUGUAACAAAGAAUAUUGCCCCAUUGGUCGAACAGCAAUAGAAAACUGAUCGAUUCCCUAGGCAAAGUAUUAUACUUAGACCUACACAAACCAGUGUAAGAAAGCACAGAUGGG
This 4641-nucleotide long non-coding RNA is filed under the name Sus scrofa (pig). Its description in RNAcentral is "lncRNA (ENSSSCG00005018274.1)". Lineage: Eukaryota; Metazoa; Chordata; Mammalia; Artiodactyla; Suidae. The record is from RNAcentral.